Molecule: transfer RNA, 72 nt
Filed under: Bos taurus (domestic cattle)
Lineage: Eukaryota; Metazoa; Chordata; Mammalia; Artiodactyla; Bovidae
Also listed under: 3 other names
Rfam family: tRNA
About the family: Transfer RNA (tRNA) molecules are approximately 80 nucleotides in length. Their secondary structure includes four short double-helical elements and three loops (D, anti-codon, and T loops).
Source: Rfam by way of RNAcentral
UCCCUGGUGGCUCAGAGGUUAAAGCAUCUGCCUGCAAUGCAGGAGACCUAGGUUCGAUCCCUGGGUUGGGAA